GAUGAACGCUGGCGGCGUGCCUAAUACAUGCAAGUCGAGCGAACGGACGAGAAGCUUGCUUUUCUGAUGUUAGCGGCGGACGGGUGAGUAACACGUGGAUAACCUACCUAUAAGACUGGGAUAACUUCGGGAAACCGGAGCUAAUACCGGAUAAUAUUUUGAACCGCAUGGUUCAAUAGUGAAAGACGGUCUUGCUGUCACUUAUAGAUGGAUCCGCGCUGCAUUAGCUAGUUGGUAAGGUAACGGCUUACCAAGGCAACGAUGCAUAGCCGACCUGAGAGGGUGAUCGGCCACACUGGAACUGAGACACGGUCCAGACUCUUACGGGAGGCAGCAGUAGGGAAUCUUCCGCAAUGGGCGAAAGCCUGACGGAGCAACGCCGCGUGAGUGAUGAAGGUCUUCGGAUCGUAAAACUCUGUUAUUAGGGAAGAACAUAUGUGUAAGUAACUGUGCACAUCUUGACGGUACCUAAUCAGAAAGCCACGGCUAACUACGUG
Molecule: ribosomal RNA, 497 nt
Filed under: uncultured bacterium
Lineage: Bacteria
Description: partial 16S ribosomal RNA
Rfam family: Bacterial small subunit ribosomal RNA
Source: RNAcentral